UGGUGGAGUGAUUUGUCUGGUUAAUUCCGUUAACGAACGAGACCUCGACCUGCUAAAUAGUUCGACCAAGGAUUCGUCCUUGGGUACGUGACUUCUUAGAGGGACUAUCGGUGUGUAGCCGACGGAAGUUCGAGGCAAUAACA
This 143-nucleotide ribosomal RNA is filed under the name uncultured eukaryote. Its description in RNAcentral is "partial 18S ribosomal RNA". It matches the Rfam family "Eukaryotic small subunit ribosomal RNA", at positions 1299 to 1458 of the family's 1831-position model. The record is from RNAcentral.